RNAcentral lists this ribosomal RNA (253 nucleotides) under uncultured bacterium. Its description in RNAcentral is "partial 16S ribosomal RNA". It matches the Rfam family "Bacterial small subunit ribosomal RNA", at positions 524 to 776 of the family's 1533-position model. The record is from RNAcentral.
UACGUAGGGUGCAAGCGUUAUCCGGAAUUAUUGGGCGUAAAGAGCUCGUAGGCGGUUUGUCGCGUCUGCUGUGAAAACUGGAGGCUCAACCUCCAGCCUGCAGUGGGUACGGGCAGACUAGAGUGCGGUAGGGGAGAUUGGAAUUCCUGGUGUAGCGGUGGAAUGCGCAGAUAUCGGGAGGAACACCAGUGGCGAAGGCGGCACUCUGGGCCAGUAUUGACGCUGAGGAGCGAAAGCGUGGGGAGCGAACAGG